RNAcentral lists this ribosomal RNA (1315 nucleotides) under uncultured bacterium. Its description in RNAcentral is "bacterial SSU rRNA". It matches the Rfam family "Bacterial small subunit ribosomal RNA", at positions 47 to 1383 of the family's 1533-position model. The record is from RNAcentral.
CCUAACACAUGCAAGUCGAACGGUCCCUUCGGGGACAGUGGCGAACGGCGGAGUAAUACAUAUGCAACGUGCCCCAAAGACUGGGAUAGUCGCGGGAAACUGCGGGUAAUACCGGAUGUGGCCCCUUGAAGGCAUCUUUAAGGGAUUAAAUGGUUUUUCGCUUUGGGAGCGGCAUAUGGCCUAUCAGGUUGUUGGUGGGGUAACGGCCUACCAAGCCGACGACGGGUAGCGGGUCUGAGAGGACGAUCCGCCCGAGUGGGACUGAGACACGGCCCACACACCUACGGGUGGCAGCAGUUGGGAAUCUUGCACAAUGGGGGAAACCCUGAUGCAGCGACGCCGCGUGGAGGAUGAAGGAUCUAGGUCUGUAAACUCCUUUUUCAGGGAAAGACUUAGGACGGUACCCUGAGAAUAAGCCCCGGCUAACUACGUGCCAGCAGCCGCGGUGAGACGUAGGGGGCGAGCGUUGUCCUGAUUUACUGGGCGUAAAGGGCGCGUAGGCGGCUCGUUAAGUGUGAAGUGAAAUCUCCAGUGCUCAACACGGAAAUUGCUUCGCAUACUGGCGAGCUAGAGGAAUGCAGAGGGUUAGUGGAAUUCCUGGUGUAGCGGUGAAAUGCGUUGAUAUCAGGGGGAACACCCAUGGGCGAGGCAGCUAACUGGGCAUCACCUGACGCUGAGGCGCGAAAGCGUGGGGGAGCAAACAGGAUUAGAUACCCUGGUAGUCCACGCCCUAAACGAUGGAUACUAGGCGUAAGAGGUAUCUAUCCCUCUUGUGCCGCAGCUAACGCAAUAAGUAUCCCGCCUGAGUAGUACGGCCGCAAGGUUGAAACUCAAAUGAAUUGACGGGACCCCGCACAAGCGGUGGAGCAUGUGGAUUAAUUCGAUACUAACCGAAGAACCUUACCCAGGCUUGACAUCGAUGGCAAUCCCGUGAAAGCGGGACCUCUCCCACAAGGAGACCUGAAGACACUUGUUGCAUGGCUGUCGUCAGCUCGUGCCGUGAGGUGUACGGUUAAGUCCGCCAACGAGCGCAACCCUCGACCUAUGUUGCCAGCAUGAAAGAUGGGAACUCAUAGGUGACUGCCCGUGUAAGCGGGAGGAAGGUGAGGAUGAUGUCAAGUCAGCAUGGCAGUUACGCCUGGGGCUUCACACAUGCUACAAUGGGCGAAACAAACGGCAGCAAUACCGCGAGGUGGAGCAAAUCCGAAAAACACGCCCUCAGUUCAGAUUGUAGUCUGCAACUCGACUACAUGAAGACGGAAUCGCUAGUAAACGCAGGUCAGCUAUACUGCGUUGAAUACGUUCCCGGGGUUUG